This 2903-nucleotide ribosomal RNA is filed under the name Escherichia coli UMEA 3656-1. RNAcentral describes it as "bacterial LSU rRNA". It matches the Rfam family "Bacterial large subunit ribosomal RNA". The record is from RNAcentral. Lineage: Bacteria; Pseudomonadati; Pseudomonadota; Gammaproteobacteria; Enterobacterales; Enterobacteriaceae.
UUAAGCGACUAAGCGUACACGGUGGAUGCCCUGGCAGUCAGAGGCGAUGAAGGACGUGCUAAUCUGCGAUAAGCGUCGGUGAGGUGAUAUGAACCGUUAUAACCGGCGAUUUCCGAAUGGGGAAACCCAGUGUGUUUCGACACACUAUCAUUAACUGAAUCCAUAGGUUAAUGAGGCGAACCGGGGGAACUGAAACAUCUAAGUACCCCGAGGAAAAGAAAUCAACCGAGAUUCCCCCAGUAGCGGCGAGCGAACGGGGAGGAGCCCAGAGCCUGAAUCAGUGUGUGUGUUAGUGGAAGCGUCUGGAAAGGCGUGCGAUACAGGGUGACAGCCCCGUACACAAAAAUGCACAUAUUGUGAGCUCGAUGAGUAGGGCGGGACACGUGGUAUCCUGUCUGAAUAUGGGGGGACCAUCCUCCAAGGCUAAAUACUCCUGACUGACCGAUAGUGAACCAGUACCGUGAGGGAAAGGCGAAAAGAACCCCGGCGAGGGGAGUGAAAAAGAACCUGAAACCGUGUACGUACAAGCAGUGGGAGCCUCUUAAUGGGGUGACUGCGUACCUUUUGUAUAAUGGGUCAGCGACUUAUAUUCUGUAGCAAGGUUAACCGAAUAGGGGAGCCGAAGGGAAACCGAGUCUUAACUGGGCGUUAAGUUGCAGGGUAUAGACCCGAAACCCGGUGAUCUAGCCAUGGGCAGGUUGAAGGUUGGGUAACACUAACUGGAGGACCGAACCGACUAAUGUUGAAAAAUUAGCGGAUGACUUGUGGCUGGGGGUGAAAGGCCAAUCAAACCGGGAGAUAGCUGGUUCUCCCCGAAAGCUAUUUAGGUAGCGCCUCGUGAAUUCAUCUCCGGGGGUAGAGCACUGUUUCGGCAAGGGGGUCAUCCCGACUUACCAACCCGAUGCAAACUGCGAAUACCGGAGAAUGUUAUCACGGGAGACACACGGCGGGUGCUAACGUCCGUCGUGAAGAGGGAAACAACCCAGACCGCCAGCUAAGGUCCCAAAGUCAUGGUUAAGUGGGAAACGAUGUGGGAAGGCCCAGACAGCCAGGAUGUUGGCUUAGAAGCAGCCAUCAUUUAAAGAAAGCGUAAUAGCUCACUGGUCGAGUCGGCCUGCGCGGAAGAUGUAACGGGGCUAAACCAUGCACCGAAGCUGCGGCAGCGACGCUUAUGCGUUGUUGGGUAGGGGAGCGUUCUGUAAGCCUGUGAAGGUGGCCUGUGAGGGUUGCUGGAGGUAUCAGAAGUGCGAAUGCUGACAUAAGUAACGAUAAAGCGGGUGAAAAGCCCGCUCGCCGGAAGACCAAGGGUUCCUGUCCAACGUUAAUCGGGGCAGGGUGAGUCGACCCCUAAGGCGAGGCCGAAAGGCGUAGUCGAUGGGAAACAGGUUAAUAUUCCUGUACUUGGUGUUACUGCGAAGGGGGGACGGAGAAGGCUAUGUUGGCCGGGCGACGGUUGUCCCGGUUUAAGCGUGUAGGCUGGUUUUCCAGGCAAAUCCGGAAAAUCAAGGCUGAGGCGUGAUGACGAGGCACUACGGUGCUGAAGCGACAAAUGCCCUGCUUCCAGGAAAAGCCUCUAAGCAUCAGGUAACAUCAAAUCGUACCCCAAACCGACACAGGUGGUCAGGUAGAGAAUACCAAGGCGCUUGAGAGAACUCGGGUGAAGGAACUAGGCAAAAUGGUGCCGUAACUUCGGGAGAAGGCACGCUGAUAUGUAGGUGAAGCGACUUGCUCGUGGAGCUGAAAUCAGUCGAAGAUACCAGCUGGCUGCAACUGUUUAUUAAAAACACAGCACUGUGCAAACACGAAAGUGGACGUAUACGGUGUGACGCCUGCCCGGUGCCGGAAGGUUAAUUGAUGGGGUUAGCGGUAACGCGAAGCUCUUGAUCGAAGCCCCGGUAAACGGCGGCCGUAACUAUAACGGUCCUAAGGUAGCGAAAUUCCUUGUCGGGUAAGUUCCGACCUGCACGAAUGGCGUAAUGAUGGCCAGGCUGUCUCCACCCGAGACUCAGUGAAAUUGAACUCGCUGUGAAGAUGCAGUGUACCCGCGGCAAGACGGAAAGACCCCGUGAACCUUUACUAUAGCUUGACACUGAACAUUGAGCCUUGAUGUGUAGGAUAGGUGGGAGGCUUUGAAGUGUGGACGCCAGUCUGCAUGGAGCCGACCUUGAAAUACCACCCUUUAAUGUUUGAUGUUCUAACGUUGGCCCGUAAUCCGGGUUGCGGACAGUGUCUGGUGGGUAGUUUGACUGGGGCGGUCUCCUCCUAAAGAGUAACGGAGGAGCACGAAGGUUGGCUAAUCCUGGUCGGACAUCAGGAGGUUAGUGCAAUGGCAUAAGCCAGCUUGACUGCGAGCGUGACGGCGCGAGCAGGUGCGAAAGCAGGUCAUAGUGAUCCGGUGGUUCUGAAUGGAAGGGCCAUCGCUCAACGGAUAAAAGGUACUCCGGGGAUAACAGGCUGAUACCGCCCAAGAGUUCAUAUCGACGGCGGUGUUUGGCACCUCGAUGUCGGCUCAUCACAUCCUGGGGCUGAAGUAGGUCCCAAGGGUAUGGCUGUUCGCCAUUUAAAGUGGUACGCGAGCUGGGUUUAGAACGUCGUGAGACAGUUCGGUCCCUAUCUGCCGUGGGCGCUGGAGAACUGAGGGGGGCUGCUCCUAGUACGAGAGGACCGGAGUGGACGCAUCACUGGUGUUCGGGUUGUCAUGCCAAUGGCACUGCCCGGUAGCUAAAUGCGGAAGAGAUAAGUGCUGAAAGCAUCUAAGCACGAAACUUGCCCCGAGAUGAGUUCUCCCUGACUCCUUGAGAGUCCUGAAGGAACGUUGAAGACGACGACGUUGAUAGGCCGGGUGUGUAAGCGCAGCGAUGCGUUGAGCUAACCGGUACUAAUGAACCGUGAGGCUUAACCUU